CUUGCUUCUCGGGUGGCGAGUGGCGAACGGGUGAGUAACAUAUCGGAACGUACCGAGUAGUGGGGGAUAACUGAUCGAAAGAUCAGCUAAUACCGCAUACGUCUUGAGAGAGAAAGCAGGGGACUUUCGGGCCUUGCGCUAUUCGAGCGGCCGAUAUCUGAUUAGCUAGUUGGUGGGGUAAAGGCCUACCAAGGCGACGAUCAGUAGCGGGUCUGAGAGGAUGAUCCGCCACACUGGGACUGAGACACGGCCCAGACUCCUACGGGAGGCAGCAGUGGGGAAUUUUGGACAAUGGGCGCAAGCCUGAUCCAGCCAUGCCGCGUGUCUGAAGAAGGCCUUCGGGUUGUAAAGGACUUUUGUCAGGGAAGAAAAGGCUGUUGCUAAUAUCAGCGGCUGAUGACGGUACCUGAAGAAUAAGCACCGGCUAAC
Molecule: ribosomal RNA, 429 nt
Filed under: uncultured Neisseria sp.
Lineage: Bacteria; Pseudomonadati; Pseudomonadota; Betaproteobacteria; Neisseriales; Neisseriaceae
Description: bacterial SSU rRNA
Rfam family: Bacterial small subunit ribosomal RNA
Source: RNAcentral